UUGAGCGGAGAUAUAUGGAGCUUGCUUUAUAUAACUUAGCAGCGAACGGGUGAGUAACACGUAGAUAAUCUAUCCUAUACUGGGGGAUAGCCCGAUGAAAGUUGGAUUAAUACCGCAUAUAGCUAUAUAGUUGCAUGAUUAUGUAGUGAAAGAUUUAUCGGUAUAGGAGGAGUCUGCGGCACAUUAGCUAGUAGGUGAGCUAAAGGCUUACCUAGGCGACGAUGUGUAGCCGGUCUGAGAGGAUGAACGGCCACAAUGGAACUGAGACACGGUCCAUACUCCUACGGGAGGCAGCAGUGGGGAAUAUUGCACAAUGGGGGAAACCCUGAUGCAGCAACGCCGCGUGAGUGAAGAAGGUUUUCGGAUUGUAAAGCUCUGUUAGCAGGGAAGAGGAAGGACGGUACCUGCAGAGGAAGCCACGGCUAACUACGUGCCAGCAGCCGCGGUAAUACGUAGGUGGCAAGCGUUGUUCGGAAUAACUGGGCGUAAAGGAUGCGUAGGCGGUUAAACAAGUUAUAUGUUAAAUAUAUAGGCUUAACCUGUAGAAAGCAUAUAAAACUGUUUAACUAGAGUGCAGGAGAGGUAAGUGGAAUUCCUAGUGUAGCGGUGAAAUGCGUAGAGAUUAGGAAGAACACCAGUGGCGAAGGCGACUUACUGGACUGUAACUGACGCUGAGGCAUGAGAGCAUGGGGAGCAAACAGGAUUAGAUACCCUGGUAGUCCAUGCUGUAAACGAUGGGUACUAGGUGUGGGUUGUGAAU
This 760-nucleotide ribosomal RNA is filed under the name uncultured bacterium. Its description in RNAcentral is "bacterial SSU rRNA". It matches the Rfam family "Bacterial small subunit ribosomal RNA", at positions 62 to 834 of the family's 1533-position model. The record is from RNAcentral.